Long non-coding RNA from Salvelinus namaycush (lake trout), 275 nucleotides. RefSeq lists it as uncharacterized. The record is from RefSeq and is a predicted model, not a curated record. The transcript is spliced from 3 exons. Lineage: Eukaryota; Metazoa; Chordata; Actinopteri; Salmoniformes; Salmonidae.
GCUACCCACAUGAGCAAGAGAGGAUUUUUUUUUAAAGAAAGUUUUUUAACGUUUUUCUUUAGCAAGAGAGGAUGAGGUUGAAGCACAUCCCUAACACCAUACAGAUCUAAAGAACUUGGGAACCUCCCAGCCAUCAGGAAAAUAAUCUUGUUCUUGGAGUUUAUUCACAAGGUUUGUCAUAUGAUUUCCACGAGCCUGGUGAAGAUGUAUACAAUCAUAAUACAAGGCAGUACAUUUCCCUGCAUCCAGUUUGAGGCCUGCUACCAGCAGGAACA